This 507-nucleotide ribosomal RNA is filed under the name uncultured bacterium. Its description in RNAcentral is "bacterial SSU rRNA". It matches the Rfam family "Bacterial small subunit ribosomal RNA", at positions 28 to 528 of the family's 1533-position model. The record is from RNAcentral.
GACGAACGCUGGCGGCGUGGAUUAGGCAUGCAAGUCGAACGGUAUCAUCCUUUCGGGGGUGAGAGAGUGGCGAACUGGUGAGUAACACGUAGGUUAUCUACCCUCAAGACGGGGACAACCCAGGGAAACUUGGGCUAAUACCGGAUGUGAGCAACUUUUAGUUGUUUGAAAGGUGGCGUAAGCUGUCGCUUGGGGAUGAGCCUGCGUCCUAUUAGUUAGUUGGUGAGGUAACGGCUCACCUAGGCAAUGAUAGGUAGGCGGCCUUAACGGGUGGUCGCCCACACUGGGAUUGAGAUACGGCCCAGACUCCUACGGGAGGCAGCAGUCGAGAAUAGUCUACAAUGGUCGGAAGACUGAUAGUGCGACGCCGCGUGAACGAUGAAUCCCUUCGGGGUGUAAAGUUCUUUUAUAUGUGAGCAGUGCUUCUUAUAUUAACAGUAUGGGGGGAGAGAUAUUAGCAUAUGAAUAAGCAACGGCUAACUCCGUGCCAGCAGCCGCGGUAAACGU